This 542-nucleotide ribosomal RNA is filed under the name Escherichia coli. Its description in RNAcentral is "partial 23S ribosomal RNA". It matches the Rfam family "Bacterial large subunit ribosomal RNA", at positions 2380 to 2916 of the family's 2925-position model. The record is from RNAcentral. Lineage: Bacteria; Pseudomonadati; Pseudomonadota; Gammaproteobacteria; Enterobacterales; Enterobacteriaceae.
CGUGACGGCGCGAGCAGGUGCGAAAGCAGGUCAUAGUGAUCCGGUGGUUCUGAAUGGAAGGGCCAUCGCUCAACGGAUAAAAGGUACUCCGGGGAUAACAGGCUGAUACCGCCCAAGAGUUCAUAUCGACGGCGGUGUUUGGCACCUCGAUGUCGGCUCAUCACAUCCUGGGGCUGAAGUAGGUCCCAAGGGUAUGGCUGUUCGCCAUUUAAAGUGGUACGCGAGCUGGGUUUAGAACGUCGUGAGACAGUUCGGUCCCUAUCUGCCGUGGGCGCUGGAGAAUUGAGGGGGGCUGCUCCUAGUACGAGAGGACCGGAGUGGACGCAUCACUGGUGUUCGGGUUGUCAUGCCAAUGGCACUGCCCGGUAGCUAAAUGCGGAAGAGAUAAGUGCUGAAAGCAUCUAAGCACGAAACUUGCCCCGAGAUGAGUUCUCCCUGACUCCUUGAGAGUCCUGAAGGAACGUUGAAGACGACGACGUUGAUAGGCCGGGUGUGUAAGCGCAGCGAUGCGUUGAGCUAACCGGUACUAAUGAACCGUGAGG